This 252-nucleotide ribosomal RNA is filed under the name uncultured Bacteroidales bacterium. Its description in RNAcentral is "partial 16S ribosomal RNA". It matches the Rfam family "Bacterial small subunit ribosomal RNA", at positions 524 to 776 of the family's 1533-position model. Lineage: Bacteria; Pseudomonadati; Bacteroidota; Bacteroidia; Bacteroidales. The record is from RNAcentral.
UACGGAGGAUGCGAGCGUUAUCCGGAUUUAUUGGGUUUAAAGGGUGCGUAGGCGGAACAUUAAGUCAGCGGUAAAAUCGAGGGGCUCAACCCCGUCGAGCCGUUUGAACUGGCGCGCUUGAGUUCAGGCGAGGUAGGCGGAAUUCGUGGUGUAGCGGUGAAAUGCAUAGAUAUCACGAAGAACUCCGAUUGCGAAGGCAGCAUACCGGCGCCCAACUGACGCUGAGGCACGAAAGCGUGGGUAUCGAACAGG